AAACCAACAGGGAUUGCCUUAGUAACGGCGAGUGAAGCGGCAAAAGCUCAAAUUUGAAAUCUAGUGCCUUUGGUACUCGAGUUGUAAUUUGAAGAAUUUUUCUCCGAACAGUCCUUUAUCUAUGUUCCUUGGAACAGGACGUCAUAGAGGGUGAGAAUCCCGUGUGAUUUUGGAUACUGUUCAUUGUGAGAUUUAUUCGAAGAGUCGAGUUGUUUGGGAAUGCAGCUCUAAGUGGGUGGUAAGUUCCAUCUAAAGCUAAAUAUUGGCGAGAGACCGAUAGCGAACAAGUACAGUGAUGGAAAGAUGAAAAGAACUCUGAAGAGAGGGUGAAAAAGUACGUGAAAUUGCUGAAAGGGAAGGGCUUUAGGUCAGACUUGGUGUUUAAUACUCAGUUCUCCUUGUGGGAGCUGCUCUUGUUUUUCACUGGGCCAAUAUCAGUUUUGGCGGUAGAGCACCUCUGGAAAUGUAGCUGCCUUCGGGUAGUGUUAUAGUCUGGGGACGAUCUACUGCUGGGACUGAGGUCUGCGCAUUUUGCUAGGAUAUUGGCAUAAUGACCUUAAGCCGCCCGU
RNAcentral lists this ribosomal RNA (569 nucleotides) under Saccharomycopsis schoenii. Its description in RNAcentral is "partial 26S ribosomal RNA". It matches the Rfam family "Eukaryotic large subunit ribosomal RNA", at positions 62 to 652 of the family's 3401-position model. The record is from RNAcentral. Lineage: Eukaryota; Fungi; Ascomycota; Saccharomycetes; Ascoideales; Saccharomycopsidaceae.